Long non-coding RNA from Toxorhynchites rutilus septentrionalis, 1502 nucleotides. RefSeq lists it as uncharacterized. The record is from RefSeq and is a predicted model, not a curated record. Lineage: Eukaryota; Metazoa; Arthropoda; Insecta; Diptera; Culicidae. The transcript has 3 exons.
UUAAAUUUGAUUGAAAAUUAUGAUGAAUUGACGAUAAAUGAUUGAUACUCUGAUACGAUGUAUUUAAAAUGCUCGAAACGAACGUUGACGAAUAGUAUUGCUUCUUUGUUUCAGGAAUUUGUCAGUCGCUCGUUACUGCUCGCUUUUUGCCUCACUUGUUCCAAAGGCACUGGUCCUUCUGCUUUGCAACUGGUUCUAGAGGAGCUUCGCCAUCAUUGCUAUUAAUGUAAUUGAAAAUUGCUCCUAUUUACUUUUAUAAUUUAAUUAAGCCUAACGAAGCUGUAGUUGGAGAGGAAGCUUCUUCGGAGGUAGCUGCCGUUUUUUUCGAUUUCAGUUCACUGAUGUACAGAGGAGUAGCUGAACAUCGUAAGGAGGGAUGUUGGUGGCGUAAAAAAGUGAAGGAAAGCAAGGAAAAAGCAGCUCUUCCUCGGGUAACCCGUAUGCGUAUGCGUCUGCACCUGAGGACAUUACCGAGUGUCAUUCGAAUGCUGAGCACGGCAGCCACGAGCGACUUGUGAAGUUGUAAAGCAUUGGGUGUCUUGUUUAAUGAGAGACUGUAUGUCGUUCGGGAGCUGGUUGGGUAUCGGUAUCGGUUCUAGCGAACCGUACGAGGAGACGGGAAAGAAAAAUAUCGUUGCAGCAAUUGCUAGCAUAAUUGUAUUACCAUUUCUACGCGCACUGGAAUUUAAAGACAUUCCAACAGAAGAAACAUUAUAAUACUGGUUCCCUACAUUCCUUCCGAUCAUAGGGUGGAUGCUGAAUUUCAUUGCCUCGAGAAGGAGAAGCAAAAAAGAUGAGCUGGAGAUGCCGGGGAUCGAACCCGGGGCCUUUCACAUGCAAAGCGAACGCUCUACCACUGAGCUACAUCCCCUUAUAUAGAGCUUGUAAAUUUAAUCUGGUUAUAACAUGUAAAUGAAAAAAAAAUAUUUAAAAAAUGUCAAUUUUUCCCUCGUGAGCGAUCGAAGGCGAUCGUAACUGGACUGUCGAGCAAUCCUUUACACGAAUUUAUAUCAAAAUGUAGAAUUCGUCAAUUCAUUCACAAUCGUGGAAAUUAAAUUGCAAUGAGUUUAAUCGAGUAAAAUCGAAAAUUGUGUUUGUAUACAAAGUUUUCCCAUUCUUAGUUUGGAAGAUAUGUGUCCAGGGUUGCCACAUAUACAGAACAUUCUAUAUUUUACAGAUUUUUAGGCCAAAUUUCUUAUACAGAAUCUGUAUAUACAGAAUUACAGGUUUUCAACAAAGCUACAUAAUUCUAAGAUUUUUAAUCAAACCGAAAUUUGAAUAUCCAAUAAAUUACAGUCAAUUUUCUCUGUCUAUCUUCUUAUUAAUAAACUUACUUUGUUUUAUACGCCAACAAAACAAAGUUCAGAAAUCGGUUGGCUUCCACAAUGAUGGACUCUACUUUAAAAGCAAAGAACUAUGUAUUGGCUCAAGAAAGAAUGUGAAGGAUGAAAUUGGCGGAAAAUUUGACGGCAAAGUUCAACAAAACCAUAUAUAAACAUCAG